GUGCUCACAUUGGCAGUACAUACACUAAAGCAGAAAGGAUACAGAGAAGAUUAUUAGCAAGGCCCUGUGCAGGGAUGACACGUAAAGUAUACACUUCAUUGUUUUUU
This is a small nuclear RNA of Fukomys damarensis (Damara mole-rat), 107 nucleotides long. The record is from Ensembl. NCBI's taxonomy places the organism in Eukaryota, Metazoa, Chordata, Mammalia, Rodentia, Bathyergidae.